GUUAUAAAUUAUUAAAAAUAAUUAUUUUAUGAAUUGUUUAAGUAUUUUAUAAAGAAAAAAUAAUUUUAAUUAUAGUUAAAUAAUAUUGUGAAAGAAAAUUGAAAUAAAUUGAAAAAUUAAUAUUUUAAAAGAAGAUUUAAUUUAUUGUACCUUGUGUAUCAGGGUUUAUUAAAUAAAAAUUAUUUAUAAUAAUUUUCUCGAUUUUAAAAGAGUUAAUAUAUUAUAAAAGUUAAUGUAAUAAAAUUAUUUUAUAUAAUAUAUUAGAAAUGAAAUGUUAUUCGUUUUUAAAGGUAUCUAGUUCUUUAAGAAAUAAAUUUAAUUUAGAAAUUUUAUAUUAUUUAAUUAAAUUAAUUAAUUAAAUAAUUAUUUAAUUUUAAUAUUUUAUGGGAUAAGCUAUAAAAUAAAUUAUUAAAAAUUAUUAGAUAAUUUAAUAAAUAUAAGCUUAGAAAUAGUUAUUAUUAAUAAAAUUGUUAUAAUUUAUUUUGUUAAAAUGGAUUAUUUAUUAAAUUUUAAUUAUGUAUUAAAGUAUUUAUUUUAAUUAUAAAAAUGAAAAAAUAAUGAUAAAAUUAGUAUAUUAUAUUGUAUGAAUAUGAUUAAUUGAUAAGUUUUUAUAAAGAACUCGGCAAAAAUAAUGUUCGCCUGUUUAACAAAAACAUGUCUUUUUGAAUUUUUUUUAAAAGUCUAACCUGCCCACUGAAUUUUAAAUGGCCGCAGUAUAUUAACUGUGCAAAGGUAGCAUAAUCAUUAGUCUUUUAAUUGGAGGCUGGUAUGAAUGGUUGGACGAGAUAUUAACUGUUUCAUAAAAAUUUAUAAUAAAAUUUUAUUUUUUAGUUAAAAAGCUAAAAUAACAUUAAAAGACGAGAAGACCCUAUAAAUCUUUAUAUAUAAAUUAUUAGAAUUUUGUAGAUUUUUUUUAUUAUAAUAAUGAAUUAUAUUUUAUUGGGGUGAUAUUAAAAUUUAAUAAACUUUUAAUUUUUAAAAACCAUUAAUUUAUGAAUAAUUGAUCCACUAAUAGUGAUUAAAAAAAUAAGUUACUUUAGGGAUAACAGCGUAAUUUUUUUGGAGAGUUCUUAUCGAUAAAAAAGAUUGCGACCUCGAUGUUGAAUUAAGAUAUAAUUUUAGGUGUAGCUGCUUAAAUUUUAAGUCUGUUCGACUUUUAAAUUCUUACAUGAUUUGAGUUCAAACCGGCGUAAGCCAGGUUGGUUUCUAUCUUUAAUAAAUUAAAAUAUUUCAGUACGAAAGGACCUAAUAUUUAAUAGAUUAUUAUUU
This 1269-nucleotide ribosomal RNA is filed under the name Sarcophaga haemorrhoa. RNAcentral's name for it is "16S ribosomal RNA". The stretch from base 591 to 1269 matches the Rfam family "Archaeal large subunit ribosomal RNA", at positions 1423 to 2792 of the family's 2987-position model. The record is from RNAcentral. Lineage: Eukaryota; Metazoa; Arthropoda; Insecta; Diptera; Sarcophagidae.